Molecule: long non-coding RNA, 657 nt
Organism: Cryptotermes secundus
Lineage: Eukaryota; Metazoa; Arthropoda; Insecta; Blattodea; Kalotermitidae
Exons: 4
Source: RefSeq, a predicted model, not a curated record
GAACGAUGCAUAUAAAUCCACGCCCACUAUACUUUUCCCUUUAAAAAGUAAGCAAAGGUUGGAUUUCCGAAUCAAAGGGCCUUCUAGACUGAUAUAUAAUGUAGCAUAUGCGAAAGAUUGCUGCUUCCCUUUCCUAAGAAAGCUGGGCGGCAUGCAUCAUCUUCCUGGUUAUCUCUAGGUCUUCUGUUUUCUUCCAGAUUGGAAAUAGUUACAGUCGACAUUCAAUUGACAAUGCAACAGCAGGCAGCUCCUGUGCAGCAUGGCGGUCCCUUGUUUAGCUUGUGCCGAUCUCCUGCCGCUCCCACUAGUGCUACUCGGAACCCCCGUCAGCCUGUUCAGCACAGCCAACCUCAUACCAAUGAAGCUCCUGCGCCUGCGCCCAGAAAUGGCGAACAUAAGCCUCAGGGAAACGGGUAACAAGCCUCCGGUUCUGUGGGUGGAGGUGGCAGACUGUUGCUUCUCCUGCCAAUAUACAUGGAGUAACAAACAACACUGAACUACAAACAUAAUAAUUUUAUUUCAAAUGUCAGAGUGUUAGCCGGACUAACACAGUUAACAUGGACGAUCCGCCAUUGAGCUACAUAUAGCAUCGAUAAGUAAAUCAUAAAUGGAGACAUACAUUGUGUUAUUUUGUACUGUCACGUGAUAGAGUGACUA